GACGAACGCUGGCGGCGUGCCUAAUACAUGCAAGUAGGACGCAGUUGCGAACGGGUGAGUAACGCGUAGGUAACUACCUAUUAGAGGGGGAUAACUAUUGGAAACGCUAGCUAAUACCGCAUACUAGUAGAUGGACCUGCGUUGUAUUAGCUAGUAGGUAGGGUAAUGGCCUACCUAGGGAACGAUACAUAGCCGACCUGGUAGGGGUAUCGGCCAAACUUGGAAUGGGACACGGCCCAGACUCCUACGGGAGGCAACAGUAGGGAAACUUCGGCCAUGGGGGGAACCCUGACCGGGCAACGCCGCGGGAGGGAAGAAGGUUUUCGGAACGUAAAGCUCUGUUGUUAAGGAAGCGGUACUUAACCAGAAAGGGACGGCUAACUACGUGCCAGCCGCCGCGGUAAUUC
This 407-nucleotide ribosomal RNA is filed under the name uncultured bacterium. Its description in RNAcentral is "partial 16S ribosomal RNA". It matches the Rfam family "Bacterial small subunit ribosomal RNA", at positions 28 to 526 of the family's 1533-position model. The record is from RNAcentral.